UACGGAGGAUCCGAGCGUUAUCCGGAUUUAUUGGGUUUAAAGGGAGCGUAGGUGGAUUGUUAAGUCAGUUGUGAAAGUUUGCGGCUCAACCGUAAAAUUGCAGUUGAAACUGGCAGUCUUGAGUACAGUAGAGGUGGGCAGAAUUCGUGGUGUAGCGGUGAAAUGCUUAGAUAUCACGAAGAACUCCGAUUGCGAAGGCAGCUCACUGGACUGCAACUGACACUGAGGCUCGAAAGUGUGGGUAUCAAACAGG
RNAcentral lists this ribosomal RNA (253 nucleotides) under uncultured bacterium. RNAcentral describes it as "partial 16S ribosomal RNA". It matches the Rfam family "Bacterial small subunit ribosomal RNA", at positions 524 to 776 of the family's 1533-position model. The record is from RNAcentral.